GAUCUUAUAGCUCAGUUGGUAGAGCAUAACACUUUUAAUGUUAGGGUCAUGGGUUCGAGUCCCAUUGAGAUCAC
RNAcentral lists this transfer RNA (74 nucleotides) under uncultured phage cr61_1. RNAcentral's name for it is "tRNA-Lys". It matches the Rfam family "tRNA". Rfam says of the family: Transfer RNA (tRNA) molecules are approximately 80 nucleotides in length. Their secondary structure includes four short double-helical elements and three loops (D, anti-codon, and T loops). The record is from RNAcentral. Lineage: Duplodnaviria; Heunggongvirae; Uroviricota; Caudoviricetes; Crassvirales; Darmviridae.